ACGAGUUUGAUCCUGGCUCAGAUUGAACGCUGGCGGAAUGCUUUACACAUGCAAGGUCGAACGGUAGACGGGGGCAACCCUUGAGAGUGGCGAACGGGUGAGUAAUAUAUCGGAACGUGCCCAGUCGUGGGGAUAACGUAGCGAAAGUUACGCUAAUACCGCAUACGAUCUAAGGAUGAAAGCGGGGGAUCGCAAGACCUCGCGCGAUUGGAGCGGCCGAUAUCAGAUUAGGUAGUUGGUGAGGUAAAGGCUCACCAAGCCGACGAUCUGUAGCUGGUCUGAGAGGACGACCAGCCACACUGGGACUGAGACACGGCCCAGACUCCUACGGGAGGCAGCAGUGGGAAUUUUGGACAAUGGGCGCAAGCCUGAUCCAGCAAUGCCGCGUGCAGGAUGAAGGCCUUCGGGUUGUAAACUGCUUUUGUACGGAACGAAACGGUGAGCUCUAAUACAGUUUGCUAAUGACGGUACCGUAAGAAUAAGCACCGGCUAACUACGUG
Molecule: ribosomal RNA, 500 nt
Filed under: uncultured bacterium
Lineage: Bacteria
Description: bacterial SSU rRNA
Rfam family: Bacterial small subunit ribosomal RNA
Source: RNAcentral